Long non-coding RNA from Mesocricetus auratus (golden hamster), 1720 nucleotides. RefSeq lists it as uncharacterized. The transcript has 5 exons. The record is from RefSeq and is a predicted model, not a curated record. Lineage: Eukaryota; Metazoa; Chordata; Mammalia; Rodentia; Cricetidae.
CCCGCCAGCCUCCCUCCCUCCGGCCGUCGAACCCCGCCGACCGCGGCCCGAGGCAUCCGCCCGCCCGCGGGGGAAGCCGGUCCGACGGCAGCGCCGCCCGGGCUGCAGAGCCCGGCCGCCAUACCUGCACUUUCCUCCGCCCGGCUGUGUUCUGCCGGUGAUGGGCCGCCAUCUUGCAUGUUGACACUCCGACGUCACUUCCGGGAGCGGCCGGCGCCGGCGGAUGUCCCGCCCUGGUUCCCUCGGUUGGGCAGGACGGAGUUCGUGACCUGUGACUCUGAACAUACUAAGUGUACAACUGAAGAACGUUAACUGGGGGCUGGAGAGAGGGCUCAGCAAUGAAGAACGCACACGGCUCCUGCAGGAGAGUCCGAGUUCAGUUCCCAGCAGAUCACAGUCAUCCAAAAUUCCAGCUCCCGGGGAUCUGACACGCCCUCUUCUGGCCUCUGUGUGUACUGCAUCCUCAUGCAAACACCCACACGCAGACUGGAAGUCAGCAAGUGACGCCGUGGUCUCUGUCUCGGAGUUGGUGUCACAGGAUGCAGGGGACACACCUGGGAGCUGGUGUCACAGGAUGUCCAGGGCACCUGGCUUGUUAUGUGGCUGUUAGGACCCGAACUCUGUGGAUGUCGUAUCACUGGAUGCUUCAAGUCCCUGCCACCCCGACGUCUCCUGCACUGAUGGGGUGAACGUGGCACUGUUAGCAAGAGCUGUGUACUGCAGACCCAUCUCCCCAGCACCGAAUCUCUCCAGCACCGAAUCUCUCCAGCACCGAAUCUCCCCAGCACCGAAUCUCCCCAGCACCGAAUCUCCCCAGCACCGAAUCUCCCCAGCACCGAAUCUCUCCAGCACCGAAUCUCUCCAGCACCGACUGUGUCACCUGCUGUUUCAAAUCCCACCCAAAGGUGGCCAGUGAGCCCGUGCCACCUGCCUCUGGGAGCCCGGGGUACGAGCACGCUACCACGCCCCGUUUCUGAUGUGGGCUCCGAGGACCGCUCUCAGGCGUUCGCCUUGCAUGUGGAGCAUUUUACCAACUGAGCAGCUGUCUCCCUAGCCCAGCACUUAGCUUUCUUUAGGUGAGACCAAUGGAGUGGGGCCCAGGCAGGGAACGGAGGGCGCUCAGAGCCAAGAGCACCACCACACGGCUCCCAUCCUCUGUUCUUCGAGUUACUGUGACUGUCAAUGGCUCCAGCUUCGCAGGGGACCAGAGUGCAGUUUUGAGGUAGGGUCUCCUGUCUCCUGUGUGAGCCUCCUGGAUCUGUCUUCUGUGCUGGGAUUAGAGGUGUGAGCCACCACACUCAGUUGGAGAGGCACGGCUUCAACACGAGUGAAGGCAGACCCGACGCCCGGGUUUCGUCCCUGGAACUCAUGUAGAGGUGCACGUGUUCUCCUGGAACCUCCAGCCCAGCUCUAGUUCUCAUUCUCCAAAUGCAGCCCUCUCAGAGAACCACGGAAAAAGCCCAGUUCUGCACUCUCGGUGCUGGGGCGGCUCCUCCCCCAAGGCUGCUGGCUGCUCAAGACCCGGCCUAUCCUGAUGGGACGCAAACCCAGCUUUUGGAGGACACUUUGUCUCCCCACCUUGCAUCUACAGGGUACUUAAACCUCCUCCCCCAGAGCGGUCAUGUGACCUCUCUUAUGUCCCCUCUCCCCACUUCAUCUCUGGGGGCCGAAGAGUCACCUGGAGUGCUUUGCCCAAUAAACCUGGUCUUUUACUUUUUAA